This 510-nucleotide ribosomal RNA is filed under the name Salmonella enterica. RNAcentral's name for it is "partial 23S ribosomal RNA". It matches the Rfam family "Bacterial large subunit ribosomal RNA", at positions 911 to 1418 of the family's 2925-position model. RNAcentral also lists the same sequence under 1 other name. The record is from RNAcentral. Lineage: Bacteria; Pseudomonadati; Pseudomonadota; Gammaproteobacteria; Enterobacterales; Enterobacteriaceae.
UGUUUCGGCUAGGGGGCCAUCCCGGCUUACCAACCCGAUGCAAACUGCGAAUACCGGAGAAUGUUAUCACGGGAGACACACGGCGGGUGCUAACGUCCGUCGUGAAGAGGGAAACAACCCAGACCGCCAGCUAAGGUCCCAAAGUCAUGGUUAAGUGGGAAACGAUGUGGGAAGGCCCAGACAGCCAGGAUGUUGGCUUAGAAGCAGCCAUCAUUUAAAGAAAGCGUAAUAGCUCACUGGUCGAGUCGGCCUGCGCGGAAGAUGUAACGGGGCUAAACCAUGCACCGAAGCUGCGGCAGCGACACUGUGUGUUGUUGGGUAGGGGAGCGUUCUGUAAGCCUGUGAAGGUGGCCUGUGAGGGUUGCUGGAGGUAUCAGAAGUGCGAAUGCUGACAUAAGUAACGAUAAAGCGGGUGAAAAGCCCGCUCGCCGGAAGACCAAGGGUUCCUGUCCAACGUUAAUCGGGGCAGGGUGAGUCGACCCCUAAGGCGAGGCCGAAAGGCGUAGUCGA